AAGUUUGCCGAGCAUUUUGGUCCCCGCAUGCUUGCGGGGUUAAAAGGGAAUCCGGUGUAAAUCCGGAGCUUUUCCUGAAGCUGUAAGUCUUAUCAAGAGUUUUCAGUAUCACCUUUGCCACUGUUCCUAUUCCCGAUAGCUAUCGGGACGGAACGGGAAGGCGCUGAAAAUAAGACGAGCCAGAAGACCUGCCUUUUGCAAUUUGUGUUU
Molecule: non-coding RNA, 210 nt
Filed under: Owenweeksia hongkongensis
Lineage: Bacteria; Pseudomonadati; Bacteroidota; Flavobacteriia; Flavobacteriales; Owenweeksiaceae
Source: RNAcentral